CCGCAUGGUUUGUCUGGGAAAGCUUUCGCGGUAUGGGAUGGGGUCGCGUCCUAUCAGCUUGACGGCGGGGUAACGGCCCACCGUGGCUUCGACGGGUAGCCGGCCUGAGAGGGCGACCGGCCACAUUGGGACUGAGAUACGGCCCAGACUCCUACGGGAGGCAGCAGUGGGGAAUAUUGCACAAUGGGCGCAAGCCUGAUGCAGCGACGCCGCGUGAGGGAUGGAGGCCUUCGGGUUGUAAACCUCUUUUAUCGGGGAGCAAGCGAGAGUGAGUUUACCCGUUGAAUAAGCACCGGCUAACUACGUGCCAGCAGCCGCGGUAAUACGUAGGGUGCAAGCGUUAUCCGGAAUUAUUGGGCGUAAAGGGCUCGUAGGCGGUUCGUCGCGUCCGGUGUGAAAGUCCAUCGCUUAACGGUGGAUCCGCGCCGGGUACGGGCGGGCUUGAGUGCGGUAGGGGAGACUGGAAUUCCCGGUGUAACGGUGGAAUGUGUAGAUAUCGGAAAAAAAACA
RNAcentral lists this ribosomal RNA (510 nucleotides) under Bifidobacterium longum subsp. infantis. RNAcentral describes it as "bacterial SSU rRNA". It matches the Rfam family "Bacterial small subunit ribosomal RNA", at positions 186 to 710 of the family's 1533-position model. Lineage: Bacteria; Bacillati; Actinomycetota; Actinomycetes; Bifidobacteriales; Bifidobacteriaceae. The record is from RNAcentral.